This 766-nucleotide ribosomal RNA is filed under the name Karenia papilionacea. RNAcentral's name for it is "LSU rRNA". It matches the Rfam family "Eukaryotic large subunit ribosomal RNA", at positions 23 to 671 of the family's 3401-position model. Lineage: Eukaryota; Dinophyceae; Gymnodiniales; Kareniaceae. The record is from RNAcentral.
ACCCGCUGAAUUUAAGCAUAUAAGUAAGCGGAGGAUAAGAAACUAAAUAGGAUUCCCUUAGUAAUGGCGAAUGAACAGGGAUAAGCUCAGCAUGGAAAUUGGGGCCUCUGGCCUUGAAUUGUAGUCUUGAGAUGUGCUGCCAACGGAGGCGCAGAUGUAAGCCUCUUGGAAAAGAGCAUUCAGGGAGGGUGAGAGUCCCGUAUGUCAUCUGCAGAUCUCUGUGCACGGUGCGCUUUCUAAGAGUCACGUUCCUCGGGAUUGGAGCGCAAAUUGGGUGGUAAAUUUCAUUCUAAAGCUAAAUAUUGGUUCGAGACCGAUAGCAAACAAGUACCAUGAGGGAAAGGUGAAAAGGACUUUGAAAAGAGAGUUAAAAGUGCCUGAAAUUGCUGAAAGGGAAGCGAAUGGAACCAGUUGUUCUUGGCUAGAUUGGUGUUGUCUAAUGUGAUGGCUUGCCACUUCAACGCAAGUGUGGUGGCAGGUUUUGAUCUGGAUGCGAUACUGGUUGCUUGCCUUGCGUGUCAACGUCAGUUCAUAAUUGAGGAAAACUCUAGGGACAUGGUAAUUUGCUUCCGGGUGACUGAAUGUGCCUAGUUGAACUCAUUUUUGAACUGCUUUCUGUGUGUCUGGUAGCAGUGCUCUGUGUGCUUGUCAGCAAUCUCUUGUUAGUUACCUGGCAUGAGACUUGCUGGCGCCUGGAACACAUCCUUGACAUAAGUACGAUGACGAAAUGGUUUUAUUCGACCCGUACUUGAAACACGGACCAAGG